UCUGGAAACUNUCUGACUUGAGUGCAGAAGGGGAGAGUGGAAUUCCAUGUGUAGCGGUGAAAUGCGUAGAUAUAUGGAGGAACACCAGUGGCGAAAGCGGCUCUCUGGUCUGUCACUGACGCUGAGGCUCGAAAGCGUGGGUAGCGAACAGGAUUAGAUACCCUGGUAGUNCACGCCGUAAACGAUGAGUGCUAGGUGUUAGGCCCUUUCCGGGGCUUAGUGCCGGAGCUAACGCAACAAGCACUCCGCCUGGGGAGUACGACCGCAAGGUUGAAACUCAAAGGAAUUGACGGGGGCCCGCACAAGCGGUGGAGCAUGUGGUUUAAUUCGAAGCAACGCGAAGAACCUUACCAGGUCUUGACAUCCCGAUGCUAUUCUUAGAGAUAGGAAGUUACUUCGGUACAUCGGAGACAGGUGGUGCAUGGUUGUCGUCAGCUCGUGUCGUGAGAUGUUGGGUUAAGUCCCGCAACGAGCGCAACCCUUAUUGUUAGUUGCCAUCAUUAAGUUGGGCACUCUAGCGAGACUGCCGGUAAUAAACCGGAGGAAGGUGGGGAUGACGUCAAAUCAUCAUGCCCCUUAUGACCUGGGCUACACACGUGCUACAAUGGUCGGUACAACGAGUUGCGAGCCGGUGACGGCAAGCUAAUCUCUGAAAGCCGAUCUCAGUUCGGAUUGGAGGCUGCAACUCGCCUCCAUGAAGUCGGAAUCGCUAGUAAUCGCGGAUCAGCACGCCGCGGUGAAUACGUUCCCGGGCCUUGUACACACCGCCCGUCACACCACGAGAGUUUGUAACACCCGAANU
This 802-nucleotide ribosomal RNA is filed under the name uncultured bacterium. RNAcentral's name for it is "bacterial SSU rRNA". It matches the Rfam family "Bacterial small subunit ribosomal RNA", at positions 625 to 1427 of the family's 1533-position model. The record is from RNAcentral.